Molecule: long non-coding RNA, 1676 nt
Filed under: Sus scrofa (pig)
Lineage: Eukaryota; Metazoa; Chordata; Mammalia; Artiodactyla; Suidae
Description: lncRNA (ENSSSCG00035056715.1)
Source: RNAcentral
CUACCAUUUCCUUUCUUUUUUGCAUUCUUGCAGCCUAAAACUCUAAUCACCUUUUAUGUUGCUUUUUGUUGCUCAAUUAAAUAUAUGAAAUAUUUCUAAUAAUAAUCAGCUCCAGAUAUCCAGAAUCCUGUUUUAUAAGCCUAUAUUUUUCAUGUAUUUUUCUUUUUUUUUCUUUUUUGCUAUUUCUUUGGGCCGCUCUCGCGGCAUAUGGAGGUUCCCAGGCUAGGGGUCGAAUCGGAGCUGUAGCCACUGGCCUACGCCAGAGCCACAGCGACGCAGGAUCCGAGCCGUGUCUGCAACCUACACCACAGCUCACGGCAACGCCGGAUCGUUAACCCACUGAGCAAGGGCAGGGACCGAACCCGCAACCUCAUGGUUCCUAGUCGGAUUCGUUAACCACUGCGCCACGACAGGAACUCCUCAUGUAUUUUUCUAAGUGCAGACAACAAUUGUGUUUCUCUUCCAGCCAGUGCUAUUGUGUGAGACAGGUUAAUCUUGCUGUGCUGCAAAAGAAAGUCAUAUUCCUUGGGAUUCUUUGCUGUAAUUUUUUGCUGUCCACACUCCUAUGCUUUGGAGGACUAAAUAUUUCCACCAAUCUCAACAGACUUCCCCCUCCCCCGGUCUCCUGAGAGGUGUGCAUGCCAGUGUCUCCAGGCUGCAUUGCUCUCUGGCUGGGAGAGCCAGCGGAAGCUAGACUGGCAGACAUGGUGUCCAGGCCCCAUGCGCCUGUGGGUGGAAGCCAUCCUGAUUCUCUCUGAGAAUUUUUCUCCAGCCCAACCGAGUGAAGAACUUGCUUUUUUCAAUUUGGGAACAGUGGGUAUUUUCAAGUCACCAAUUUGUGUGAACCCAGAUUUACCACCACAUACUAUUAAAAUGACAGUGAAUGAACAGGGAGUGAGAAGUUCCAAGGCAACAAGGAGGAAAUAUAUGCUUUGUAGCUUUCCCUGCUCCUUAAGUCCUUAUUGGCCUCUGCUGAGAUACCUUCUCUCUCAGUGGCUGUGGUUAUCAGCUGUCUCCAAUGCAUCUCAGUUGAUGGAGCAAGUUGUUACUCCUGCCCAGUCCACCACCACUGCUGCUGGCUGCUGGACCACCCGCUAACCAGCAGAGUGUUUGUUACAAAAUGAAGAUGAAGCAGCUGGAACUUGGGUCUGCGAAGAGAGGCUCUGUCUUUCCUUGCUUGGGUAAGUCAUUCUGUAGCUGACAGCCCCCACCAUCCUACUGACUGCUGCCCCUAAACUGCGAGCCCUGCUUUGAGCACAUUCUUCCAUGCACCUCGCAGGCCUGCUGCAGAGUUGGUGGUAAGCGGGAAGAGAACCACACAGCACUCAAGUGCUUGGCUGCCUUCGGCAUGUCAGUCAAACACUGAAUGCAUGCACGAUGACUUGUUCAAUUAAAUGUGCCUUCAUUUAUCUAAUACAACCCACAAAUUCCUUUAAUUUUGCCACUUCCCACAUCAAAAACGGAAAGCUGAAGAAGGAAGAUUGUAAGGAAGGUUUCACAUUAAAGAUUCUGGUGACAACAACCUGGUGAUUUUUUAGUCAAUCAGGAUUUUUUUUCCCUUGGGAAGAAAUAGAAAGUAGGUGGAUAAUUAUUUAGUUGAGCUUAAAAUGUUUCUUCUGCAUGAGUUCCAGAGAAAAUGAAGAUGCUUUUGUUAUUAGCAAAGUAAUGAAAGGAGG